RNAcentral lists this long non-coding RNA (248 nucleotides) under Lathyrus oleraceus (garden pea). RNAcentral's name for it is "Pisum sativum (pea) long non-coding RNA (PSAT_LNC015641)". The record is from RNAcentral. Lineage: Eukaryota; Viridiplantae; Streptophyta; Magnoliopsida; Fabales; Fabaceae.
AGGACAUCAUCAUCCCCCAAAAAGGUUUCAAAAAUAAUAAAAAUUGGUUAUUGAAUUAAUUGAAAUAAAAACAGAAGUCAAAUGUAGAGUCAACCGAGAAAACUAGGCCAAAAAUAAAUCCAAAAUAAAUUAAAAAUGGGAAAUAAAAUUCCAAUAAAAAGUCAGGUUGACCAUGAGAAAUUGGUCAACCCUCAUCCCAAAAAUCAGAAUCUAAAAAUAAUUUUAAGUUAUGGAAAUAAAAUAAAUNN